GGCCUCGUGGCCCAAUGGCAAGGCGUCUGACUACGAUUGAAAAGCGCAAUCAGGAGAUUCUGGGUUCGACCCCCAGCGAGGUCA
Molecule: non-coding RNA, 84 nt
Organism: Xylaria sp. FL1777
Lineage: Eukaryota; Fungi; Ascomycota; Sordariomycetes; Xylariales; Xylariaceae
Source: the annotation of a GenBank genome assembly